Molecule: long non-coding RNA, 1744 nt
Organism: Cataglyphis hispanica
Lineage: Eukaryota; Metazoa; Arthropoda; Insecta; Hymenoptera; Formicidae
Exons: 3
Source: RefSeq, a predicted model, not a curated record
GAAAACAAAAUUAAAUUGAAAAUUAUAUAGUCUACGCAAGAAACAAAUAUUGAUAUUAUUGUUCUUCAUUAUUACAUCAAGAAUUGUGUAUAAUUAAAAAAAUAUCAACUGGAUGAAUAAUUUUCUGAUUAAUACGAUUUAUUUAAGUCUUUCUUUCUCUCUUUCUGCGCAAUACUUUUAUAUUUUAUUUUAAAGAUAAUUUUUAAAAAACAAAAAUAAUGAUAAAAUUAUAAAAAAGUUAUUUUCUAAUUAAUAAUAAUAAAAAUUGCAGGUUGCAGGAAUUUCCCCCGGCAUAAACGUUGCAUAAUACUUUACGAAUGCAAAUUCUAAAUUGUUUCGAAACAAAUUUCACUUUGAGAGAGGAAUAAUUGGUUAUUUAAAAAAUAUAAUUUGUUAUCAGUUGUGGCAAAUUAUGAGUUAUGUAAGUGGCGAAUUUAGAGAAUUUUUCGAUAAAAUUGUUGCACGAUGCGUGAAGCCAGAAUUGACCUAGUUGCCUAUAAAGCGAUAGGCAAAGCGGCCCCAGCGUCGCGACGCUAUUUUUGUUCGACGCGUCGCUAACUUUAGCCGUACGGCCGAUGGACGCUCCCUAAUAAGUUCAAGCGACGAUUAUGGUGGUCGACACCGCCGCUGCCGCCGCCACAGCCGACGACGACAGAUAAAACAUAACGCCCCUCUGCAAGGCAGCGGCAAGCGUGCCAAAAUUAUGCCUGCCCCCGCGGAAAAGGAACUAACGUGAUUGCACAGCCGAAAACCUCGACUCUAUGAUUAUGAACACGAUGACAAAGGGAUGGCGGUAAUGUUGGUUUAAUAUUAAUGCUGUUUUUCAUUCGUUCCUCGUAUCUCGCUAGUUAUAAUUCUAGAAAGAGAUGACUGUAAACUAUGUUUAAAGUUCACCGACAUUGAGGAAACUGAUCUUUAGAAGAAUGAGUAAUUUUAGAAACCAACCGAGAAAAAAGCACAAGAGUGGGAUUUACAGAGGAUGAAUCCUUUAAUGGGCAUGGAAGCAGCUACGAACAAUAUCGUAAAUAUCGCCAACUAUAAUUGGCUCGUUAAACAUUUUUCAGCACAAAAAUGAAAAUCUAUUUGGAUCGGGACAGAUCUCGCUCACUGCACGUUAUUAGGAUGAUGGAUGUACGACACAAUAAUUAUACGAGUGAUUUGACAAUAUGCCAAGAUUCGAUCUCAAUGGGUACAGAUAUGCUGCAAACUUGAAUUUCUUUUGAGGAGUCGGCAGCAAACUGAAGACUUUUUCUUAGGUGCAGUUAUUUAAAAUUUAUGUAAUUAUACAACGACAUACAUGUGGAAAGAAAUUUGACAAAAUGAAUGGCCUGAGAAAUUGUUUGUGAGGAGGAAGUGCUAUGCCAAAAGUAUGCCAUAAAUCAAAUAUGCAAGAUACGUGAGGUAAUGUAAAAGAUUAUAUAAUAAUAACGAGUGUGGUGUGACAUAAUGUAUAUUUGACUUGACUUUGACAUCGUAUAUAACAAUAUUUAUAAUAAUAUAGUAUAAUAUUUACAAAAUAAGUUAAAGUAUAGAAGUACACAUCAGUAGAGCUUAAUUGCUUUAGUUAGCAGACUGGACAAUUAUAUGUAAUACGUAUUGAGAGAUAGAUUUCUUGGACGAUGAUGAAGGACGCUCGCGCGACAGUGAAUACAGCGCGACCUUCCCGAAGUAGUCUCGAAAUUCGUUGCCAAGCACAACGUUGUCAUCAAGAUCCUUGAUAUCCUUACAUGCCCUUACACUUCUG